This 490-nucleotide ribosomal RNA is filed under the name uncultured bacterium. Its description in RNAcentral is "partial 16S ribosomal RNA". It matches the Rfam family "Bacterial small subunit ribosomal RNA", at positions 29 to 507 of the family's 1533-position model. The record is from RNAcentral.
AGUGAACGCUGGCGGCAGGCCUAAUACAUGCAAGUCGAACGGCAACACAGUGGAGGUUGCUCCAUGGGUGGCGAGUGGCGGACGGGUGAGGAAUACAUGGGAAUCUGCCCAGUCGUGGGGGAUAACAUAGGGAAACUUACGCUAAUACCGCAUGCGCCCUCCGGGGGAAAGACGGGGACCUUCUGGCCUGGCGCGAUUGUAUGAGCCCAUGUUCGAUUAGCUAGUUGGCGGGGUAAAGGCCCACCAAGGCGACGAUCUAUAGCUGGUCUGAGAGGAUGAUCAGCCACACUGGAACUGAGACACGGCCCAGACUCCUACGGGAGGUAGCAGUAGGGAAUAUUGGACAAUGGGCGCAAGCCUGAUCCAGCCAUGCCGCGUGAGUGAAGAAGGCCCUCGGGUUGUAAAGCUCUUUUGUCGGGAAAGAAAAGCAUCGGGCUAAUACCUCGGUGUUCUGACGGUACCGGAAGAAUAAGCACCGGCUAACUUCGUG